UGUGGAAUAUUGCACAAUGGGCGCAAGCCUGAUGCAGCCAUGCCGCGUGUGUGAAGAAGGCCUUCGGGUUGUAAAGCACUUUCAGCGGGGAGGAAGGCGGUGAGGUUAAUAACCUCAUCGAUUGACGUUACCCGCAGAAGAAGCACCGGCUAACUCCGUGCCAGCAGCCGCGGUAAUACGGAGGGUGCAAGCGUUAAUCGGAAUUACUGGGCGUAAAGCGCACGCAGGCGGUCUGUCAAGUCGGAUGUGAAAUCCCCGGGCUCAACCUGGGAACUGCAUUCGAAACUGGCAGGCUAGAGUCUUGUAGAGGGGGGUAGAAUUCCAGGUGUAGCGGUGAAAUGCGUAGAGAUCUGGAGGAAUACCGGUGGCGAAGGCGGCCCCCUGGACAAAGACUGACGCUCAGGUGCGAAAGCGUGGGGAGCAAACAGG
This 429-nucleotide ribosomal RNA is filed under the name Chloroflexota bacterium. RNAcentral describes it as "Chloroflexi bacterium partial 16S ribosomal RNA". It matches the Rfam family "Bacterial small subunit ribosomal RNA", at positions 355 to 776 of the family's 1533-position model. Lineage: Bacteria; Bacillati; Chloroflexota. The record is from RNAcentral.